Molecule: RNA transcript, 3481 nt
Organism: Centrocercus urophasianus (Greater sage-grouse)
Lineage: Eukaryota; Metazoa; Chordata; Aves; Galliformes; Phasianidae
Gene: TENT5C
Gene name: terminal nucleotidyltransferase 5C
Exons: 2
Source: RefSeq, a predicted model, not a curated record
GCGGGCUGGCAGUGCGGCAGCCAACGGAGGCAGGCUGGAGCAGCCGCGGCCCAACGGGGGGUUGGACUGAACUGGGUAGAGGUGAGAUAAGUCACUGCAGGAAGAUCCAGCACCUAUGCUUUUCCUCAAGAUUUCUGCUAUCCUUGCACCUCAAGUUAGCGUGGUGAGGAAAGGAAGCCUGAAGGAGUAUUUAUCUGGGAAGCCUCUGGAACUGGCACCAGUGUGUGAAUCACCUUCUUGGAGAUCAAAGCAGGGCUGCGAGGACCCUUCGUUCACGGCGAGAUACCCAGCUGCUCACAACAAGCAGUGUUCUUUCUUCAUCUGAGCUGAGCCACAAGAAAAAUCUGCUGGGAAAUUAAACCAGCUUGCUUAGAGAUGGUUCCCAAAGUACGGAGAUGAUGGCAGUGUCAAGUAUGUACACCAGGUUAGUCUCACAGUUUGCACUUUUAUCAUAUAACAACACAGGUUUGCACAGUACAAAGUGAUAACCUUAAUCCAGCCUACAGGGAUGAUUGACAGCACAGCAGGGACAUAGACAGUAAGGUGCUACAUAACACAACUCUGAGAACAAGCACAAGUCUGAUUAAAAACAACAACAAAAUCAACAGCAUUGUAAUGAGUAACUACUAAACUAAAAAUAUGUAUAUAACAAUUUUGUUUUAACAUGCUGGGGUCAGGUAUGUCAAUCUUUGAGGUCCCUUUCAAUCCAAGCCAUCCUAUGAUCCUCUAAUCUAUAAUUCUCUAAUUCUAUGAUCACAGCCUCAUGUUGAGCACCUAAAGGACUGUUGUGAUUUAACCAGCAAGCAGCUCUGCACCCUGCAGUUGUUCACUUGACCCCUCUGGCAGCGGGAUGGGUGAGAGAAUUGAGGGAAAAAAAAAAAGGCAAAACCUGUGGAUUGAGAUAAAGGGAGAUUAAUAGGACAGAGAAGAAAGGUAAAAUAAUAAUUACAAGGAUAUAAGAAUACACUAAACAAGUGAUGCACUGUGCAAUUCCUCACCACCCACUGACCGAUGCCCACACAACCUCUGAGCAGCAGCAGCCACCCCUGGUCAGCUCCCCCCAGUUUUGUUGUUCAGCUCAAUGCCAUAUGUUAUUGGUCAUGCCUUUGGCCAGUUGGUGUCAGCUGUCCUGGUUCUAUCCCCUCCCAGCUCCUUGUGCAUGUGCAGCCCUUUGCUGGCAGGGCAGUGUGGGAAGCUGAAAUGUCCUUGGCUCUGUGCAGCGCUGCUCAGCUACAACUAAAACAUGCAUGUGCUAUCAACAUUAUUUUCAUCCUAAAUGCAAAGCACAAGCUACUGGGAAGAAAAUUAUCCCAGCUAAAAACAAGACACUCAUAGAUGAGAAAGCUCUGUCUUAGCAAGAUACCUGUGCAAAACAUUACCACGCAACACAUUUACAGCCGGAACUUUUCCUUCUUCUCUCAAAAUAUCCAAUAAUUUCACUUCCUCCUCAAAUCUUUUUCCGUAGUUAUCUCUAUCACAUAGCUGCAAGAUUUUCACAGCACAGACAGAAAGGCCUGCAUGUUGCUUAGCAAGUUUCUGAGGAGAGGUAAAAUGUCAUGAUUACCAUAGAAAGAGGUAUGGUAAUGUUCUCUCAUCAGAUGAGAUGUGUAAUAUUACCCUACCUCUUCUGUAUUAGAUAAGAGAGCCUGAAAGCCCCAAUUAUCUGUCACUGGGAGCAUUGUUCCUGCAGUACUCUAUACCAGACAGCAGUAGGCAAAAACAGUCCGCAGGGCCCUCCCGGAUCCUUACAGGACAGCAUCUGGCCAUGGAGAUGGAAGGGAGGAUGUGAAAAUGGUGGUCUUUGAUCUGAUAGCGUGAGACUAAAUUCUGGUGGUAAGAUUGUUAUCCCCUUCCAGCAGGAGAGCUGGAAAGACCUGGGCACUGGGGAGCAGCUGUCGUGCCGAGGGACAGAUCACAGCAGAGAGCUGCUGAAGGUGCUACCCUAUGCUCAGCUCUUCAAGCUGUCAUCUUUGUGUUGGAACACAGCACCUUCCAGAGUUGUAGAGCUUCCCAGUAGCCCAGGGGGCAGACCAAGACAUUUCUUUGUACUUUAGGUGAGCCUAAAGGCUUCUGAAAGCAUAAGUUCACUGCAGCUUAAAGUUUGCUGUCAUUCUGCCUCACCUCCCAUGCUUGUGUUGCUGGAAUGUAAGUACGUGGUGGCCCUACCAGCUGGCUAGCCCUGCUGAAUUUGACCUCUGUGGCUGGAUCAAUUUUCAGUGGGGUCAGUUCCCUGAGCUGCCUCACUACCCUGUGGCAUAAACCUGACCUCUGAGGAUGGGUUAGGGGAGACUCUGACAGGUCUAAUUUAGAUUAUUUUAAACUACACAACUGCAUUAUCUAUGCAAAACCUCCUUGUCUGGUUACCAUUUCCACCAGCUAGAAAUAAAAGGCCUGCUGAAAAAUCCUUAAAGAAUUCAGACUACUUUCCAAUAAAAGCCCCUGUAAUCUGUCAGGGAAAAAAAAACAAAACAAAACAUACUGAAAAGAAGGAGAGGUGGAAGUUAAAACCAGAUAAAACUGUAUGGCCCUGUAGCUGCAAAUUUAAGUAACAGAUGUGGCAAACUACUAUGGUGAAACACUGGGUUAUUUAAAUCUUGAGGUGCUGAAUAAAGUCAGGAGGCAACUAUGUGUUAGUGAAGGGACUAUGAGUUUGAUGGCAGGGACAUAUUAUACAGGGAUUGGAUGAGUACUAAGAGAUGUUUAAUUGUGUCUGUGGGCCUUCAAACUGUAAAUUUGUGGGGGUGAACAGUAGCAUCUGUGACUGUUUUUGCAGUGACGGAAGCGGCAGACAGGGCUCAUGCACAGAAGGGAGGUGUGGUGCAGGCACCGCACCCUGUGUGCAUCAUUUCCCAAAGCUGGGGAUGGUGAGAGAACGUGAAAAACCUGCAAUUUCAAAGUGAAAAUCUGUAGUGGGGGAAAGUACAUGAUUUGUGGGGCAGCUUUGUGUGUCUGGGGCUGUGCUCCCUGAACAAUAUAUUCUCUUUGCCUCCCUUUGCUGUGCUUGCCACCUGCAGCUUGAACAUAUGGUGAUGGAUCCCGAGUUUGCUCACAGCUCCCAAAAUAGAAUAAAUGUUAUUUUCAGUUUGCAAGGUUGAUUUGCAAAUCAGCCUUCUCCACCAACCUCUGCCUCCUCCCCUCUUCAGUUCUUGUCUUCUCCUACACCACCAAAAUUUCUAACCGUUUGUCCUCCCCCGGGUUCUGGGAAACUGUGACUGAUUAAAGCUGCUUGGGCAAGCUCAGGUGCAAGGCAAAACAAAUCGGAGGACAGACUGCUGCCCACGCCCUCCACUAAGCACGUUCCACCUCAGCAUGUGCUCUGAGGGAAGGCCUGGGCAGGAGAAACUUCAUGGAAAGGAAAACCCUCAUGUACACAUAAACCAAUUCAUGAGAAGAAGAGUCUGCAGCUUCCAGAUGGCAUGUGGCGAAGCUGUGCCAGGGUGGUGGAGUCACCAUCCCUGGAGGUGUUCAAGAAAUGUAUAGA